RNAcentral lists this ribosomal RNA (118 nucleotides) under Periophthalmus magnuspinnatus. The record is from RNAcentral. Lineage: Eukaryota; Metazoa; Chordata; Actinopteri; Gobiiformes; Gobiidae.
CUUUAUGUCCAUACCGGCAUAUCUAAACCUGAUCUCGUUACAUCUCAGAAGCUAAACCGGGCUGGGCCUGGCUGGUACUUGAAUGAGAGACCACUGGGAAUAUCAGGUGCCACAGUGG